This 524-nucleotide ribosomal RNA is filed under the name uncultured bacterium. Its description in RNAcentral is "partial 16S ribosomal RNA". It matches the Rfam family "Bacterial small subunit ribosomal RNA", at positions 28 to 523 of the family's 1533-position model. The record is from RNAcentral.
GACGAACGCUGGCGGCGUGCCUAAUACAUGCAAGUCGAGCGCAGGAAACUGACGGGACUCUUCGGAGGGAAGUCAGUGGAAUGAGCGGCGGACGGGUGAGUAACACGUAAGGAACCUGCCUCAAGGAUUGGGAUAACUCCGAGAAAUCGGAGCUAAUACCGGAUAGUUCAACGGACCGCAUGGUCCGCUGAUGAAAGGCGCUCCGGCGUCACCUUGAGAUGGCCUUGCGGUGCAUUAGCUAGUUGGUGGGGUAACGGCCCACCAAGGCGACGAUGCAUAGCGGACCUGAGAGGGUGAUCGGCCACACUGGGAAUGAGACACGGCCCAGACUCCUACGGGAGGCAGCAGUAGGGAAUCUUCCACAAUGGACGAAAGUCUGAUGGAGCAACGCCGCGUGAGUGAUGAAGGUUUUCGGAUCGUAAAACUCUGUUGUAAGGGAAGAACACGUACGAGAGGAAAUGCUCGUACCUUGACGGUACCUUACGAGAAAGCCACGGCUAACUACGUGCCAGACGCCGCGGUAA